This 451-nucleotide ribosomal RNA is filed under the name Melitta japonica. RNAcentral describes it as "eukaryotic LSU rRNA". The record is from RNAcentral. Lineage: Eukaryota; Metazoa; Arthropoda; Insecta; Hymenoptera; Melittidae.
GAGCGCACGCCGCCUUCGGGGUGUUCCGGCGUCGUAGUCGUGCACUUCUCCCCUAGUAGAACGUCGCGACCCGUUGCGUGUCGGUCUACGGCCCGAGCGGCAGCCUGUCCCGUUUGCGCCUCGCGGCGCGCGUGGACAGACCCUCGGUCGCCCGGCCGGCUGCGCGACGGUACUCGCACGGUAUCGGGCCGCACCGUUUCUCGCGCGUGCGUCAGGCCCGUCGCAAGCUAGGUCAGUUCAUACCCGGAGGUGUUACGGACCCGGUGCCGUCCCCGGGCCUGGCCAGCUGUUGGCCGACGGUGUCCUCUGACUGUGUCCAUUUACCGGUCGGCGACGCUAUUGCUUUGGGUACUCUCAGGACCCGUCUUGAAACACGGACCAAGGAGUCUAACAUGUGCGCGAGUCAUUGGGAUCGAUAUUUGAAACCUAAAGGCGGAAUGAAAGUGAAGGU